This is a long non-coding RNA of Vidua chalybeata, 1227 nucleotides long. RefSeq lists it as uncharacterized. The transcript is spliced from 3 exons. NCBI's taxonomy places the organism in Eukaryota, Metazoa, Chordata, Aves, Passeriformes, Viduidae. The record is from RefSeq and is a predicted model, not a curated record.
CACCUUACAGUUCUUUGAGAUCAAGAGGUGCAGAAGCAAGUGGAGAAGUGCCCAGAGAAGGAGUGGCCACUUGCUCUUCUUCCCAGCUGUAACUGCAAAAAACGGGAAGUCUCCAUGAUGACCCUUCCUUCACAGCGGUGAAGGGCCCAUUGGUGCUUCUCAUGACUGGUGGGUUACAGCCACCUCUUCAGCAGAUGGCAGGAGGUACACAGGACAAGUAAUGCAUAAAACUGGGGGUUGUCAUUGGUUUUGGUUUUGCAUACAAGUACAACUGUCUCUUUGCUGCAGAAUGCUGUAGCCCUUUCUUGUGACAGAAGUGCCUGGAGGCGAGCCCAGAGAAGGAAAUCCUGCACUGAAAGAGGAGGAAGGGAGAAAAGAAGAAGGAAGAUUAAUGGUUUUCCUUCAACCAGGAGAACCAUAUGGACUAACCUAGGAAGCCAUCUUAGUUGGGAAAUGUUGCCUAUAGCCACUUUUUCCUGGCAAAGAGCUUAACACUGCCUAGGUUGUGACUUUCAUCAAAAGACUUUCAAAAGGUUGUGACUUUCAUCCUUUCCAAUUCUUCCAUGAUUUUUAUUUCUGUGCUAUGAUUUCUCAGCUCAUAACAUAAUUUUAGUUUUAAUGCCUUUAUUUUACAGUCCACUUAGAAGGGAGUGAAGUUCCUUUUUUCUGUUCCUCUACAUUGCAAAAGCCCUAUGUUUUUCUCUCUUCCUUUUCAUUUUUUUUCCCUCUUCUUCCUUAUCAUAUAUUCUUUUGGUUGCCCCAGGAGCACCAAUUUUGUUAAUUGAUCUGUGUGAUACAUUGCUCAAUCUAUGCCCUUCCUUGCUUCUCAAGUAGAAAUAAAAAUAGGCUAAUUGUGGGGGCAAAAGAGUUGAAAACAUAGAAGACUAAUAUUUAUUUCCUGGAAUAGCAAGAGUUACAAUUACAAUUCAGGCUUAAUUUUGCCUGGAAAAAUGAUUCUGCAAUGACUCCAAACAGGCUGUAAAAUAUUUUCAGUUGAUGUGGAAAUAUACUAGUGUGGGCAGAGUUUGGAGAAAUGUGCCCAGACCUUGCAGAAACAUAUGAGAUGUCGUUUUCCUGGUUCGUAAAGGAUGCAUUUUAGGUGAUGGUCUCUGUGCUUCAAUAACUGUGGGAGGAAACCUGACAUUAGAAAGUGCAUCCAUCUUCCUGGACAAAAGAAAAUAUCAACUUCCCAGAAACUUUUGUCAUGGAGUCAAUUCUUACACAAUG